Molecule: long non-coding RNA, 208 nt
Filed under: Salvia miltiorrhiza (redroot sage)
Lineage: Eukaryota; Viridiplantae; Streptophyta; Magnoliopsida; Lamiales; Lamiaceae
Description: long non-coding RNA (SMIL_LNC004320)
Source: RNAcentral
CUUCAAGUGCAUCUCCACUGACUUCCAGGAAAACACGGCUCUCCCAAUUUCGUCAUCAAGUCUUCUAAUCGUUGUUUACUCUUCUCCAAAUCUCGAAGAUACUCCAAAUGGCGUCUUCAAAUCUUCUAAUUCGCAGCGAUGGAAGAGUGAAUUUUCGAAAACCCUAUUCGAGAAUGGUUGAAACGGCGAGAGUGAAUUUCGUAGAUGA